Molecule: long non-coding RNA, 644 nt
Organism: Mus musculus (house mouse)
Lineage: Eukaryota; Metazoa; Chordata; Mammalia; Rodentia; Muridae
Product: predicted gene, 51781
Exons: 2
Source: RefSeq, a predicted model, not a curated record
CUCUCGCCUAACUUUUAUCUUUAUUAUUGUUUCAUUCAUAGUCAGGAAAGGUAAUUUUUCCUGGGUGCACAUGUCUAGGCUGGUAACGUUUUCAACAGGAAGAACGAUUUAUUAUUCUGCCGCCUCCUGGCUCCGUUCCCCAGCCGAGAUGGCCAUUUUCGCUGGCUUGUCAUUUCUCUCAAGUUACCCUUUUCCUCUCCGGAUGCUUUUGAAGUCUUCUGUCCUUGCUGUCCUGCAGUUUAAUUACACAUCGACUCUUAACUGAUGUGCUUUGAUUCCACUGUGCCUUCCGCAACUGUGUGCUGUAGUUGGAACCUGGCCUCCUCUUCUGCUUUCCGGCCAUGAGGCCACCAGAGAGGAAGGCUGAUGGAUUGACGUCAUCAGUCACGUGCGUGCAGCCUGGCGCCCAGGUCUUCAUCUUUUUCGGUAACUCAGAGCUUUACAGCAGCUCGCAGCAAAUCUCUGGGGCGCAGAUCAAGGAAAUCCCUGGACACAUUGCUGCCUAACCUCUUACCCAGUGUCUUUGACCAAGUUUCUUACCCAUUGCCUUAUGAUUAAAAUCGGAAAGGUCAUUUAUCCCAGUGUUAUGAGGGCCAGACAUCAAGCAUGUAAGACUAACCCAGAUAAUAAACCAUAAAACAGUA